RNAcentral lists this ribosomal RNA (405 nucleotides) under uncultured bacterium. RNAcentral's name for it is "partial 16S ribosomal RNA". It matches the Rfam family "Bacterial small subunit ribosomal RNA", at positions 30 to 526 of the family's 1533-position model. The record is from RNAcentral.
AUUGAACGCUAGCGGGAUGCUUUACACAUGCAAGUCGAACGAGUGGCGGACGGGUGAGUAAUAUAUGGGAACGUGCCCGGUGGAGGGGGAUAACUAAUCGAAAGGGUAGCUAAUACCGCAUACUAUUGGAGCGGCCGAUUUCGGAUUAGCUAGUUGGUGGGGUAAAGGCUCACCAAGGCAACGAUCCGUAGCUGGUUUGAGAGGAUGACCAGCCACACUGGGACUGAGACACGGCCCAGAUUCCUACGGGAGGCAGCAGUGGGGAAUUUUGGACAAUGUGGGAAACCCUGAUCCAGCCAUCCCGCGUGUAUGAGAAGGCCUUCGGGUUGUAAAGUACUUUUGGCAGAGAAGCGGUACCUGCAGAAUAAGCACCGGCUAACUACGUGCCAGCAGCCGCGGUAAUUC